UGCCAGCCGCCGCGGUAAUACGGAGGGGGUUAGCGUUGUUCGGAAUUACUGGGCGUAAAGCGCGCGUAGGCGGAUUAGUAAGUUAGGGGUGAAAUCCCAGGGCUCAACCCUGGAACUGCCUCUAAUACUGCUAGUCUUGAGUUCGAGAGAGGUGAGUGGAAUUCCGAGUGUAGAGGUGAGAUUCGUAGAUAUUCGGAGGAACACCAGUGGCGAAGGCGACUCACUGGCUCGAUACUGACGCUGAGGUACGAAAGUGUGGGGAGCAAACAGGAUUAGAUA
Molecule: ribosomal RNA, 279 nt
Filed under: uncultured bacterium
Lineage: Bacteria
Description: partial 16S ribosomal RNA
Rfam family: Bacterial small subunit ribosomal RNA
Source: RNAcentral